GGGGAAUAUUGCGCAAUGGGGGAAACCCUGACGCAGCAAUACCGCGUGAGUGAAGAAGGUUUUCGGAUCGUAAAGCUCUGUUAUUGGGGAAGAAAAAAAGACGGUACCCAAGAAGAAAGUCCCGGCUAACUACGUGCCAGCAGCCGCGGUAAUACGUAGGUGGCAAGCGUUAUCCGGAUUUACUGGGUGUAAAGGGCGUGUAGGCGGGACUACAAGUCAGAUGUGAAAUUCCAGGGCUCAACCCUGGAACUGCAUUUGAAACUGUAGUUCUUGAGUGAUGGAGAGGCAGGCGGAAUUCCGAGUGUAGCGGUGAAAUGCGUAGAUAUUCGGAGGAACACCAGUGGCGAAGGCGGCCUGCUGGACAUUAACUGACGCUGAGGCGCGAAAGCGUGGGGAGCAAACA
RNAcentral lists this ribosomal RNA (403 nucleotides) under uncultured Eubacteriales bacterium. RNAcentral's name for it is "bacterial SSU rRNA". It matches the Rfam family "Bacterial small subunit ribosomal RNA", at positions 356 to 774 of the family's 1533-position model. Lineage: Bacteria; Bacillati; Bacillota; Clostridia; Eubacteriales. The record is from RNAcentral.